This 622-nucleotide long non-coding RNA is filed under the name Olea europaea (common olive). Its description in RNAcentral is "long non-coding RNA (OEUR_LNC010733)". Lineage: Eukaryota; Viridiplantae; Streptophyta; Magnoliopsida; Lamiales; Oleaceae. The record is from RNAcentral.
AAUUCACGACCUUGGCAAAUAAAAUUGAGCAUGCAACGAUGAACAGGGACAAGAUUUUGCUUGGGAUUUUCAUCGAGCAUGUAUCGUCCAUGAUGAAAUUUUCUCAUAUAUUUUAGCUUUAGUACGGGAAUUUUCCCGAAAGUUUUUACUUUCAGUUGGCGAGCAAUCAUUAGAUCCAGAAUGAAUUUUGUUGCCUAUAAUGCCAGAGCAAUGUAAACUUAUUCUUUGCAAUCCCUAGGCCCACCUUCUUGCCAGCCGAAAAAUGCAUCAACUUCUUUUAAUCAAAAUAAUUGAUAAUCCAGAUAUUCCAACUCCAUCGCCGUCGAUUCACUCGAUUGGCAAACUUAACAGACCCGACAACGCAUCAGCCUUCUAAUCGAAAAGUAAAAUUAUAAUAGAAACCAAUUAAACCGCCAUAUAUUAAUAUGCCGACAGGCUUCUUAUUGAUAUUCAGCUAUACGUUGGGUUGUGGUGAGUGACAAGAAGAGAAAGAUAAAUACUGGUAACAAGUUUUGUUUUGGAAGAGAAGAAGAGAAGGUGGAGGAGGAGCAUACGGCAGUGGGCGGGAAAUCAACGGGAGCAUAGUUGUUGGUCAAAACUCAAAACUAGCGGAGGCAAUGGC